AUUGAACGCUGGCGGCAUGCCUUACACAUGCAAGUCGAACGGCAGCACGGGUGCUUGCCCCUGGUGGCGAGUGGCGAACGGGUGAGUAAUACAUCGGAACAUGUCCUGUAGUGGGGGAUAGCCCGGCGAAAGCCGGAUUAAUACCGCAUACGAUCUACGGAUGAAAGCGGGGGACCUUCGGGCCUCGCGCUAGAGGGUUGGCCGAUAGCUGAUUAGCUAGUUGGUGGGGUAAAGGCCUACCAAGGCGACGAUCAGUAGCUGGUCUGAGAGGACGACCAGCCACACUGGGACUGAGACACGGCCCAGACUCCUACGGGAGGCAGCAGUGGGGAAUUUUGGACAAUGGGCGAAAGCCUGAUCCAGCAAUGCCGCGUGUGUGAAGAAGGCCUUCGGGCUGUAAAGCACUUUUGUCCGGAAAGAAAUCCUUGGCUCUAAUACAGUCGGGGGAUGACGGUACCGGAAGAAUAAGCACCGGCUAACUACGUG
This 486-nucleotide ribosomal RNA is filed under the name uncultured bacterium. Its description in RNAcentral is "partial 16S ribosomal RNA". It matches the Rfam family "Bacterial small subunit ribosomal RNA", at positions 30 to 507 of the family's 1533-position model. The record is from RNAcentral.